GUCUCUUGAAAUUUGUUUCUUUCAAGUUUAAUGCUCAAAAGAAAACAAAAUGUCAUUAAUUUGACAGUCAUGCAUAAGAAAAGAGCACUUUCCUCUGUGAAGUAAUAUAUCAUAAGGGUUGAGAAUGCAAGCUGCCACUUGCUAGCUGUGUGGUCUUGGGCAGGUCACUUAACCUCUCUGUGCUUCAGUGUCCAUCCUUGAAUGACUUGGAUAUCUGGAUGGCAAUGUGCCAAGUGGCAUAUGCCUUUUCUACCAAACACCUUGUUGAUUACGAGCGCUUAACAUAUGCAAAGUAAGUCAUGCUUUCUCUAUCAGGCAGUAUUCUCAUCUGCAAGCUGCUGUUAACCACCAUGCUUUGCUGCAAUAAGGAGAUUUACUGGAAAGCCAGGGGAAGUUCACAGAAUAGAAAAGAGGCAGUUUGGAAAAAGGGCAGGAGUCAAGGAUGCCACGGAAGCAGCAGCAAGAGCGACGCCCCAUCACUCCGGGGACUGGUCUGGCCUGGGAGCUCCUCUGCCACCCAGAUGCAUCUGGCAUGGCUCUUCCCGCCCUCCUCCCUGCACUGUAUCAGGAGUGGGUAAAAGAUAUCUCUGACCCCCUUGGUUUCCGUAAUGGGAGGUGGCAAUGGAAAGCAGUCACUGGGAUCUGUCCUCUUGCCAAGAUUACAUACAAUGGAAAAUUCUACCAGUAGGAAUAUGUGGUGCCUAGAGUGGAGGUGUGUAGAUUCUGGGAAAAAUCAGAAAAAUCACAGAUCUCUGCUUUACUUGUAUAAGACUUCAAAUUUUCCUCAGUAACUCUGUGAGCAGUGAUAUGCUGGUAAGUGUUUAACAGCUGGCUCUCUGGCCAUGAUUUGUAGCACUUGUACAUUUCCACAGGGCAAAUACCCCUACUGUGGCCAAUUUCAUGAUACUACAUGACAUCUGAGCACAGUUGGAAAUACACAGUAACAUACUACUGUAUAACAUUUCAGCCAUACAGCUACAACAGAUGUAAAUAAUCUCAAGUGCAUAGAUGAUAGUAAAAUGUGGUGAGACAAUGAGGAAGAGAUGAGUUUUGAGUAUUUAUUACCUUUGUUAACAUAAUUUAAUUGUAAGUUUAUAUGAUUUAAUUUUUAAUCAUAGCUGUAUUUAGCAAAUGGCUUGCAGAAUUUUUGAGAGAAAAACUUUGAGCCAGUUCCAGCAUACCACUGCCCAUGAGGUGGAUCAAUAAUGUUAUUGAGAGAGAGAUUUAGAGAUCUGAGAGAUUCCUUACACAGUAGGAUGUUUGGUGGAGAGGCCUAGGACCUGGGAAUUUUGCACAGCAGUCUAUAACACUGGGGACUCUCAGUAAAAGAAUAAUAAUAGUACCUGGCAUUUACUUAGGAAAACACAUUCUUACUCAACAUCCCACUCAUUUUUGAUCCUCACAACAAAUCCAAGGAAAAGGUAAGCAAGGUGUGUUACAGGUGAGGGGACGGAGAGUCAGAGAGCUGAAGUGACCACUGACACGUGGAGCCGAGACUAGAAUUGGGUCCUUGAGACUUCCAGUUCACAGCUUUUUCCAUACCAUCCUGCUUCUUUGAACCGCCUGCCAUCACUGGGAGAGCCACUUAUUAUAAGCAGCCCAUUAAAUAAUCCGGGAUGUGUAUGUCAGGCCUUAUUCCCCAAAUUCAUUCCAGGGGCCUCUCCUGUAUCUUCACAAAUAAAGAAUGAAAUAAAGUUGGAGGCUCAUAGAGUGGGCAGUGAUAACCCAUUGCAUUAGCAGCUUUGAUAGUCAGACCCCAAGAUGGCCACCAAUGAUCCUUACCCCCUGGUGUUCAUGUCCUUGGACCCCUACACCGAAGAGGGCUGGCCUUGUGACCAGUAGGAUACUGCAGGAAUGAUGGUAUAUGACUUCUGAAGCCAGCCGUAAAUGGCACUGCAGCUUCUGCCUUGUUCUUUUGGAUCACUGGGGGAAGUGCUCUCAGCUCUUGUGCUCUGGGGGAAGUCAGCAGAGGGUUGUGCAGACACCCAAGCAGCCCUGUGGAGAAGCCCACAUUGGAAGGAACUGAGGCCUCCCACCAACAACCAGCACUACUUGCCCCCCAUAUCAGUGAGCCACCUUGGAAGUGGAUUCUCCAGCUCCAGACAAGCUUUCAGAUGACAGCCACCUUGGCUAACACCUGACAGAACCGCAUAAGAAACCCCAAGUCAAAAUCACCCACCUAAGUGCUCCCAAAGGAUUGACCCACCGAAACUGAGAGAUGACCAAUGUUUAUGUUGUUUUAAGCCACUUAGUUUUUGGGUAAUUUGUUACACAGCAAGAGUUCAACUGGAUUUCUUUCAGAGCUGCACCAUAUGGGCUGUGGGUGAUCUUAAUCCACUACAGAGAGGUGUUAGGGGCUUAAGCGAGCACUUUAAGUAAAUUGUUGUGUUGUUUUUGUUUUCCCCCAAAGAAAUUGAACUCUAAGUCAACAUUGGAGGGCUUUGUACAAUAUAACGUGAAAUGCAUUUUCUCUUUAAUGCUUUUCUAAGUAAAUCUAAUGCUUGUGUAACAUUUUUUUUCCUAUUGUUACCCACAAAAAUGUGCACUCUAUACUGAGUGCACCUGCAACUCUGAAGAGCAAGGCAGCUUGACCUGGCAUUCACUCAGGCGCCCUUAAGUCAUCCCACAGCCCUCAGACCCCACCUUCACUGUCCCCUUUGAUACUUUUGGGUCUCUGGGCCAUGGCAUCGCCUGCCCUUUGGGAAAGCCUGAACAAGGGAAAAUAAUGAAGCUAAUUAAUUAGGAAGGGAGGGGGCUAGAGACCCCACUGGAUGUUGCGGCUGGAGACCUUAAGAUCAUUAGCAGAACACCAGCCCUAACACCGUCCGGGAGGCUGAGCCUAGAAAAAUCCGCUCGUUCCCAAGAGCUCAGGAGAGGAUCUCAGCGUAGACAGGCUGUCGUGCCUACCGGGAGGGUGGGAGCCGGGAUCACCCCAGCUCCUUGGCGCGUUUCCUCCGAGCUGGAGGAGGCCGAGGGUGGACCCCGGAGCCGUUGCCCAAGGCGAGGCGCCCGAGCGCCGGCGCGGGGAGACCGGAGGUGGGACGCGGCAGGCUGCGCCUUGCAGGCCAGAGGCAACGGGUGCGGAGCGCGCACGGCCCCUGAGAGCCGGCGCCUUCAGCAUGGAGUGGGAGCUCAACUUUCUGCUCUACCUGGCGCUCUUUUUCUUUCUGCUCUUCUUACUUUUCCUCCUGCUCUUCGUAGUCAUCAAGCAGCUGAAGAACUCCGUGGCCAGCACUGCCGGGGCGCUGCAGCCCGGGCGCCUCUCGCUGCACCGGGAGCCUUGGGGCUUCUCCCACGAGCAGGGGGUGUGACCGGCGCCGCGCGGACACUGGCAGGAGGGCAUGGAGCUGUUCGGGCACCGAGCUGGGUCUCGGCCUCGAUUCUCUGGCCGCCCGGGUUCGAGGGCCAGGCUCGGCUGCCUCGCUGGCAGAUGCUUUUUCCUCGGUUUAUGCCGUCUCAAGUUCUGGAGCCGAGCUGCUGCUCUGGGCUGGGGUGUGGAGGACCGCGGAUGCAGUUACAGCCGGGUAACCGGGCUGGAAACACCAGAGAUGGACGUUUUCUGCGACGUGCCACGGGUAUCCAGAGGUUUAAAUCACCCCUGACUCUUCUAGACAGGAGACUAUAGAGAACUCAGGGUGAGUAGUUUGCUGCCAUCCCAGUAUUAAGCCAAUCUCUUUGCUGGUUCUACUGACUGAGUUUCCUACGAAAAGAGUGAUUGCCUUUCUCUCUUGUGGCCAGUGCCAUUUUAUAACCUCCUCAGAAUCUAAUUCAUUAACUACUAAGUUCCCAUUUAUCCAGGCAAAAAUGAAUAUUUAUUCCUAUUACCCAAUCUCUGCCUGGAACUUGGCCCUAAAAUCUGGUAGUUAAGGACUCUCACAAGUUCUCUCAGAACUUGCUGCUGUUGACCUCCUGCUUUGCCCUUGCUUUGUUAGAGAUCUUGCUUUUGAAACUUUGACAUCUCUACAUGAGCUGCCCUCUUCCAUUCAUUUAUUCAAUCCUCAUUUUUAAGAACCCAACAUAGAUCGAUCUCUCACAUUAGAACUACUUUCGAACUCAAAUUUUGUGCUACCUAUAUGCAUUUUUAAUCUAGCCCUCUGACACCCACAAUGGCCUAGGUGCCAGGCUUGUACACAUUGGCUGCUCUAUCCACCACACCCUGGUGCUGACAAUCACUCCACCAAGUCUGUUUUUGAAGACAGUGUACAUAUGAGCUAGGCAUUAAAACAUUUUGAAAAGUCAGGAACAUUUAAGAUAACUGCUCAUUAUAGAAGUGUAACUUGAUUAUAGAAAAUUGCUGUGUUUUAUUUUCAAUAUAAGGUUUUUAGUGACUCUUCAGCAACGUUAGAAACUGAGUUGAAUUUCUUACAUUAUAUGGAAAUGGGCCAUAAUUCGAUUGUUACAUAAUAUUAGUAUUCUGUUUCAACUGUUCUUAUUUCAUUGUUGUUUCUAAAUUUCAGCUGUUUAAAAAGACUUCAAAUCUUAUUAGGAUAAUCUCGAUUGUUCCACUGAUUUCCAAACUUGUAAGUGCAAUGAAUCUGCAGUUCUACUUGGAAAGAUAAUCAUUUUAAGUUGAAUGAGAAUGACAUCACAAUCAUACCUGUGAAAUCUAAAAUGUCUAAUAAAGUAGAUUCCUAUGUCUGAACUUCAAUUUUAAGGCACAGCUGUGGAUGCAGGACUGAUGCCAUCUGGUGCGAGUCCACAGAAUAAGAGAGAAAAUUUACCCAGGGUGUGCCAUGCACUGGCUUUUCUGGGAAUGACAAGGUGCCAGGAUUUGUUUUUGGUUCACUUGCAGGGGUGGAAACUUGGAACUAGAUAAAAAUUUUCUUAUUGGGAAUCAAGGUGGAUUGCUAUCUUGAAAUUACUGGACUGAACAGCGGCAUUAACAAAGUAGGGGUUUCGUUUUGUUCUCAUGUAACAAGGAGGUUGAGGGUCGGCUAGUACUGGUGUUGGUUCAGCAGCUCACAGAUGUCAGCGUCAAGGUGGCCCCUGAGGUUCCCAUGGCUUUUCCCGUAGGUUCCAAGAUGGUUGUUACAGUUCCCCUCAAGAAGAUGGAGGAAACCCAAAGGGAAAACAGAGCAUGCCAGUUUGAGUCCACUUCCGUUUAAAGAGCUUUCGGCAGCCCAGCAACUUUUGCUUACAUCUCAUUGGCCAGACUGUGUCAUUGGCUCCUGCUAUGUCUUAAGAUUGGCUGAGAAAGGUAGUUUUUGUAGCUGGACAUACAACUGCCUUCAACAAAAAUCUGAGUUCUCUUGAUAAGGAAGAAGAUAAUGGUGGAUCUUGGGUGAACAACUUGUAGUCUGUGCCCUGGAUACAAAAUACAGUAGUAAAGAAGCAUGAUGCUUGAAACAUAUCAAAACUGUAGCUCCUUCACAACUGGCAACUCCAAGCAACACUGCUGUGCUCUGAGAGAGUGAGUAGAGUGAAGACGUGUUAGGUUUUCUCAUGAAACACUUACCAGGACUGCCCUUCUCUAUCAGCCCUUGCCCCUAUCAGGCUUUUCUAGAGGAAGAUGCUGGGAAGCUGCACACUGUCUUGGAGGACAUAAUCUCUUCAUGGAGGUUUGAAAUGGGAUGAGGAAUGUUCUCCCUUGCUACUUCCACAUCUGCUUCAUUUAUCUCUUCUCUGAUUUUCCUGACAAAUUUUUGGUGGAAUCUAGUUGUGUAUUUGAUCCCCAUAAAAGGAUCAUUUCUUUCAUGCACAGGGGAGGGUAAUCUAUGUGAAGAAAGGCUACUUUACUCCCUUCUGUGACUCCACCACCAAUCUAGGAAUAUCCUGGAAGAAUUGCUUCUCAGAGCUGCUUCCAUAAGCAGCCUACAUCCUGGCUAAGCAAAGGGAGAAGAAACACUUCCCACAUCCAGGGCUGUCCAAAAGAACUUUCUGUGAUGACAGAAAUGUUCUAUAUUGGAACUGUCUUAUAUGGUAGCCACUAGCCACAUGUGGUUGGCAAACACUUGAAAUGUGGCUACUGUGAUUGAGGAGGUAAAUUUUAAUUUUAUUUACUUUUAAAUAAUUUAAAUGUAAAUAGCCACAUGUGGCCAGUGUCUAUUGUGCUGUAGAGCAUAGUACAUACCUUUCUCUUUCCUGCGUUUUAGAACUUGCUGGGUGUGUGUAUGGGGAAGGGGGUGGUUAGAGCCACUACGUAAGUCACAUGCUUGGUGUUCCAUGGUCUUCACUGUUCCACCUUGCCAUUGAACUUGUCUCUCAGAGGAAAAGGAAACAUGGUAUUUUGGAACUAAAUUCAAGAUGUUAACUUGACAUUUACACAUUGAACGUAUGUAUAAGUGGAAUGGUCUCCUGGGAACAGAUCCUGUGAUUGAUUUUAGUAAUAAAUGAUGAUGGGAAAGGGGUAGUGCUGGUCAUUUAACAUUCCUAGUGAACAUUAUGUGUUCCUAGUCAAAGUCAGCAGAGAUUAUUUUAUUCUGUUGUGUAAUUCAUUCUGUGUUACUUUAUUUUUUUAAUAUUGUGGCUGCUAAAUGAUACUUCAUGUCUGUUUUUCAAAAUACUUCGUGGUUUAUACUUUUAAAAGGCUGUGAAAUAAAAAAAUAAUUAUAUGUAACUCA
This is an RNA transcript of Orcinus orca (killer whale), 6560 nucleotides long. RefSeq lists it as uncharacterized. The transcript has 4 exons. NCBI's taxonomy places the organism in Eukaryota, Metazoa, Chordata, Mammalia, Artiodactyla, Delphinidae. The record is from RefSeq and is a predicted model, not a curated record.